Long non-coding RNA from Equus caballus (horse), 3418 nucleotides. Lineage: Eukaryota; Metazoa; Chordata; Mammalia; Perissodactyla; Equidae. The record is from Ensembl.
GUGGCUUCUCCGGGGGCCUCGGCUAACCUGCGCACUCCCUGCAAAUCGGCCUGGGUCGGGAGCGCAUCCCGUUUCAGCCCCCGACUGCGGAGCCCCCUGGUUUGGAGCAGCGCCGAAGGACCCACCGGCCACCCUUCCCGUUAGUAACAAGCUGGAGGGAGUGAAAGGAGUCCCAUCCAUAAGCCCAACGCCACCAUCCAGAGGGCUUUACAUCAGAAAAGCACGGAUGGCAAAGCGGCACGUGGCUACUCAUUCAUUCACUCAGCAGCCAGUUUACUGAACCUUCACCAUGUGCCAAGCACUGUGCCAGGUGCUGGGGAUACAGAGCAGAGUCCAGCAGAACACUAUUCACCCUGCCCUAGGAGCUUGCAAUCUAGUGCGGGAGGCAGACGAAAAAGAAUUGAAAAAAUAAUGACAUUUGGGAUAAGGCCUGUGCAGGAAAGAAGAGGGUGCAAAUUGUGUAGUUAGCAAAGGAGGAGGUGGCAUUUAAGCUGAGCCCUAAAGUUAUGAAAGAUGCAACCAUGGGAAGAGCCAGAAAAAAGCUUUCCAGAAAGAGGGAGCAGCUGUAUGAAAGCCAGAAGGAGUGGGCAAUCUUGAUGCCUUGGAACUAAGAGGUGGUGAUUGUGAUUGGCACCAGGAGAGCAGGGGAGAAUAACAUACUGUAAGCCUGGACAGGUUGGCAGGGACCAGAUCGUGGACUACAUCCUAGUCAAUAAGCAGACCGUUUUAUUCCAAAGUCAACGGGAGGCCAUUGACUGAAUGGCUUUAUCCCAGGGCGUGACAUGAUCUGAUUUAUAUUUCUUUUGAAUUUCUUUUUUGGGAGAUAAAUGUAGAUUCACACACAUUUGUAAGAAAUAAUACAGAGGUCGUAUGUACCCCUUGCCCAGUUUCCCCCAAUGCAAAACUAGAACAAGAACACAACCAGAAUAUUGACAUCAGUAAAAUCUACCCAUCUUAGUCAGAUUUUCCUGGUUUUACUUGUACUCUGUGUGUGUGUGUGUGUGUGUAUGAUUCUGUACAAUUUUAUCACGUGGUGUAGGCUCAUGUGUCCACCAUCACAGUCAAGAUACAAAAUAGUUCCAUCAUUACAAGGAUCCAGCCCGUUGCUCCUUUAUACCCACAGCCAGCUCCUCAGCCUCCCCAGUCCUUCGCCAUUGGUGACCGUUAAUGUCUCCCAUUUCUAUAGUUUUGUCAUUUCGAGAGUUUUAUGUAAAUGAAUCAUACAGUAUGCAACCUUUGGGGAUUGGCUUUUUUCAUUCAGCUUAAUUCCCUUGAGAUUCUUCCAAGUUGUUGCAUCCAUAGUCCAUUCUUUUUUAUUGCUGAGUCGUAUUCCAGGUCUGAUUUAUAUCUUUAAGAGACCAUUGCCGCUACCAUGUGGAGAAAGGUCCAGAGGAGACUGAGAAUCGAAACAGGGGGACUAAUUAGGAGGCUUGCCCAAUAGUCCCUCUCAAAGCUGAUGGUGUACAUUAGGAUGGUGCCUGUGGAGGGAAGUGGAAAGAUUUGCUGGAACAGGUUUGAAGAGGGAAUCGGAGUUGAAGUGGAGGCAGCAUAGUGUAGACAAUUGUUUUGAGACAUUUCAUGGUGGAGGUGAAUAGAAGUGGAGCGGAAUGAGAAGGAGAAGUAGAGACAACAGGAGGUUCCUGUCUCUUUUAAUUUGGGAGAUGAGAGCCUGUUGAGGAAUAAUCAGUAGGGUGGGACUGCUGAUGAGAGAAGGGCUUACUAAAGGAGUCGAGUCCCUGCCUAGCAGAGAUGAAAUGAGAGCUGGAUUCCACGUGGAGGAUAGGCCCGCCACCUGCUGAAAGGCCUUUCACUGUAAGGACCAUGGAUGUCUAUGCUGAUCAGGGGGCCGGCUGUAUGUAUAGAUCAAGCGAAUCCAGUCUGAUGACUCCUGUUUUCGCCUGUGGUGCACAAACUGGGCACUGGCCUCGCUUAGGAGAGAGCAUAAGCCCUUGCAAAGUUCCCUCCUCUCUCCCUGGCACCAGGGGCCUGGGCCUUCCCUUUUCCCAUUCCAAGCCCUCAGCAGCAGUGAAGUUUGGUUUUGGGGGAUGGCAAGAACUUCACACUUGUGAGGAAAAGAAGAAGGCCGUGUGCCCCACCCUGAUUUCGAGAAGGCUCUGAAUGUUCAGCUCCGCUUCAGGCAACUCCCUGAAGAGAAUACCAGCCCAGUGCCCUGCCCCAAAAUAGCUAAGAAGCACCCAGAUCCCAAGAUGGAGGGCUCUGCAUGAAGGGCCCUCUCCCAGGGAACCUUCUGUCCAUCCUUUGGUGCUCAAUCGGUGUUAGUUGUGGCUCAUUGUUCACAAGAUCCCUUUCUUCCUCCCCCUUCCUUUUCCGUCUUUACUUCCCCGUCCUUUCUGCCCCCCACCUUCUUUCCCACCUCCCCCACUUCCUUCCUCUCUUCCUCCCUUUUGCAGAUAUUUCCAGUGUGUUCCUAGUAGGUUCAAGGCACGGAUCUCACCUGGCCCCUGCUUGGUUUACACCCAAGGCCAGUCCCAUCUGCCUCUUAACAGUUCAUCUCCUUGGAUUUGAACUCAACUUUUGUGGGUCAUGGAAACACAUGGUUCCACUUGAAAUAUAUGGGGGACUGUGUUGCAGACUAAGCAAAACGGAUAAAAGGAAAGAGGCUGCCCAAAUUGGGAACUUGUGUGCUACAUUCUGGUAAUGUUUUUAGCAUCUAGAAGCAAAAAGAAAUUAAAUAGACUACAAUCAGAUGGUAUGAGCUCAUAUCUGAUCUUUUUCAUUUCUGUUUGAGUAAGAAAAUAGACAUGAGGAGAGGGUCUUAGAUUUUAACAGAAUUUAAAGCACCCUUAGAAGGAAAUAUGAAGCAUUUAUCAGCAUAUAAAGUAAUCAAGGCCUUUGCCUCCUCUUCCAAAAGUACCAUGAUGACAGAUGAUUCUAAGUGAUUGAAAGUGUGUUACUUAACCAGACAUGCAUCAUUUUAUUUACUCUUCGUUUUAUUUACUCUUCCUGUCAGAUACUAUUAUCCCUACUGUACAGAUGAGAAAACUGAGGCUCAAAGAGGUUAAGUAACUUUGAGUCAGAAUUUGAAACCAAGCAACAUGGCUCCAGAGCCCACAAUGCAAACCAAUAUACUACGCUUCCAAAUUGUUCAUCACUUUUACUGCGGUCCUCCAAAGUGGCUGCUUCUUUCUGCAUGGCUUGCCAAGCGGUGCCACGUCCGCACCCAGGAUCUGAACUGGCAAACCCCGGGCCGCCGAGAAGCGGAACGUGCAAACUUAGCUGCAGUGCCACUGGGCCAGCCCUGGCCUAUUUUAAAGCAAAUGUAACACAUCACAUCAUUCCAUCCAGAAAUACUUGAGUAUAUACUGCUAAAAGAGAAAGACUUUCUUCUUUUUUUAACAUUCCUUUUAUUUCUUUUUCUUGUGUGAUUGCACUGGCUGGAACCUCCAGUACAACGGUG